CAUAACAGACACAAGAAGUACAAUGACAUUCAUCAUCAUCUUCUUGAUCUUAGGCAUGUGUUUUCAAGACUCUACAGGACAGGUGACUGUAAUUCAGACUCCAGCAGAUAAACAUGUUCAGAACGGACAAACAGUCACUCUGACCUGUAAAACCAGCAGCGCCAUUGGACGUCAGUCAGACGGUUGGUGUAAGUCUUGUGUCUCCUGGUACCUACAGAAACCUGGAGAAACUCCUAAACGUUUAGUGUACUAUAUUAAAACCCUCCAGUCAGGAACUCCAUCUAGAUUCAGUGGAAAUGGAGCUGAUCAUGGAAGAGAUUUCACUCUGACCAUCAGCGGAGUCCAGAGUGAAGAUACAGGAGAUUAUUACUGUCAGAGUGCACACUGGAUCAACAGUAAACAUGUGUUCACACAGUGAUAAAGAGUGGUACAAAAACCUCCACCAGUCAGAGUCACAGUGACUGCACUGAUACAGAUGA
This is a non-coding RNA of Labeo rohita (rohu), 479 nucleotides long. Lineage: Eukaryota; Metazoa; Chordata; Actinopteri; Cypriniformes; Cyprinidae. The record is from the annotation of a RefSeq genome assembly.